GAUGAACGCUGGCGGCGUGCUUAACACAUGCAAGUCGAACGGUGAAGCAGGAGCUUGCUCUUGUGGAUCAGUGGCGAACGGGUGAGUAACACGUGAGCAACCUGCCCCUGACUCUGGGAUAAGCGCUGGAAACGGCGUCUAAUACUGGAUAUGCGAUGUGACCGCAUGGUCUGCAUCUGGAAAGAAUUUCGGUUGGGGAUGGACUCGCGGCCUAUCAGCUCGUUGGUGAGGUAAUGGCUCACCAAGGCGUCGACGGGUAGCCGGCCUGAGAGGGUGACCGGCCACACUGGGACUGAGACACGGCCCAGACUCCUACGGGAGGCAGCAGUGGGGAAUAUUGCACAAUGGGCGGAAGCCUGAUGCAGCAACGCCGCGUGAGGGAUGACGGCCUUCGGGUUGUAAACCUCUUUUAGCAGGGAAGAAGCGAAAGUGACGGUACCUGCAGAAAAAGCACCGGCUAACUACGUGCCAGCAGCCGCCGCCG
RNAcentral lists this ribosomal RNA (484 nucleotides) under uncultured bacterium. Its description in RNAcentral is "partial 16S ribosomal RNA". It matches the Rfam family "Bacterial small subunit ribosomal RNA", at positions 28 to 523 of the family's 1533-position model. The record is from RNAcentral.